Molecule: ribosomal RNA, 468 nt
Filed under: uncultured bacterium
Lineage: Bacteria
Description: partial 16S ribosomal RNA
Rfam family: Bacterial small subunit ribosomal RNA
Source: RNAcentral
GACGAACGCUGGCGGCGUGCUUAACACAUGCAAGUCGAACGGAAAGGCCCUGCUUUUGUGGGGUGCGCGAGUGGCGAACGGGUGAGUAACACGUGAGUAACCUGCCCUUGACUUUGGGAUAACUUCAUGAAACUGGAGCUAAUACCGGAUAUGAGCUCCUGCUGCAUGGUGUGGGUGGGAAAGUUUCGGUGGUUGGGGAUGGACUCGCGGCUUAUCAUCUUGUUGGUGGGGUGGUGGCUUACCAAGGCUUUGAGGGGUAGCCGGCCUGAGAGGGUGACCGGCCACAUUGGGACUGGGGUGCGGCCCAGACUCCUACGGGAGGAAGCAGUGGGAAAUAGUGCACAAUGGGCGGAGGCCUGGUGCAGCAACGUCGCGUGCGGGAUGACGGCCUUCGGGUUGUAACGCGGUUUAGCCUGUGAAGAAGAGUGAGUGACGGUAAUGGGUAAAGAAGCAACGGCUAACUACGUG